AUGGAGGCAGCAGUGGUGAGCGUGUCGCGGGGCGCCAUAGGCUUCGUGAUUGCGAAGCUUGGCAAUCUGCUCGCCGGCAAGUACAAGCUGCUCAAGGGAGCCAAAGGAGAGAUCAUGUUCCUUAAAGCUGAGCUCGAGAGUAUGCGAGCAUUCCUGGAGAGGAUGUCGGAGGCGGAGGAGGAGCCCGACAAGCAAGCCAAGUUAUGGGCGAAGGAGGUGUGUGAUUUGUCCUAUGACAUCGAGGAUAGUGUUGACGAGUUCAUAGUCCUGGUGGAAUGUGAGUCCGACUGCGAACCGCAUGGAUUUAAGGGAUUCAUUCAGAGGAGCAUGAACUUGUUGACGACGAUGAACACUCGGCAUAGGGUCGCGAAGGAGUUCCGAGGCCUCAAGGGCCGUGUCAUGGAGGUGAGCGAGCGACGCAUGAGGUACAAGAUUGAUGAUGCUGUCUCAAAGCAAAACAAGACAACCAUAGACCUUCGCCUCCUGGCACUCUACGCAGACACUGCGGGCCUUGUGGGUAUCGACGGGCCGAGGGAUGAAUUAAUUCGGCUGAUGGCGAGUGAAGAGGGUAGUCCUGCGCAACUGACAAAGGUCCUCUCCAUAGUUGGAUUCGGAGGGCUUGGUAAGACUACACUUGCGAACCAGAUUUACCACAGGCUAAAGUGGCAGUACCAGUGUCAAGCUUUCGUUUCUGUGUCCCAGAAACCAAACAUAAGAAUGAUUUUGAGAAGAAUGCUCUCUCAAGUCCAUGGAGUGCCAGAGGGAACCAACAUGGAAAUAUGGGCUGAGGAGGAACUGAUCAGUGAACUCAGAGAAUUCCUUAUAGAUAAGAGGUACUUGAUUGUAAUUGAUGACAUUUGGGAUGAAACUACAUGGAAUGUUAUUAGAUGUGCUCUUCCAGAAAAUAUGUACGGUAGCAUGAUAAUAGCAACUACCAGAAUUAAUUCUGUGGCUAGAGCUUGCUGCUGCCAUCAACGUGACUAUGUUUAUAAGAUGAAGUCACUAAGCAAAGAAAACUCAAGAAAGCUAUUUUUUAAACAAGUAUUUGGUUUAGAAGAUGCUUGCCCUCCGUACUUGGAAGAAGUUUCAGCUCAAAUUUUGAAAAGAUGCGGCGGCUUGCCUCUUGCAAUUGUGACUAUAUCUAGCCUUUUGGCUAGUGAGCGAAACAAAUUGAAGGAGCAUUGGGUGCACAUAAUGAAUUCUCUGGGCCCUAAUUUUGAGGUGAAUCCAACAUUGGAAGGAAUGAGGCAAAUACUGAGCCUUAGUUACAUAAAUCUUCCUCACUAUUUGAAGACAUGCAUGCUUUAUUUGGGUAUGUAUCCAGAGGACUAUAUAAUCAAGAAAAGUGAUUUGGUCAGGCAAUGGGUAGCCCAAGGUUUUGUAAGUAAAGCACAUGGGCAAUGGCCAGAGGAUGUUGCAGAGUGCUAUUUUAACGAGCUUGUUAAUAGAGGCAUCAUUCAACCAGUUGAUACA
RNAcentral lists this ribosomal RNA (1473 nucleotides) under Triticum aestivum (bread wheat). RNAcentral describes it as "partial small subunit ribosomal RNA". The record is from RNAcentral. Lineage: Eukaryota; Viridiplantae; Streptophyta; Magnoliopsida; Poales; Poaceae.